UAGCUUCCUAUUAUUGCAUUUUUAUAAUUGGCAAUUUUUUUAUAUUACAUUUUUUAACCCAUAUAUUCAUUCUCGGACAUGCUUUAAUUUAAUGGCUCUGCAGAAUGAGAACUUAAUGAUUAGAUUUAGUUGAAAUGCUUGAUCAAGAUCUUGUUUGGGAGUGAUUUUGAGAAUUGAUUUUUUUGACUGUUAGGAGAAAAGUGGGGUCCAUCUGUGAGAGAAGAAGUCAAAUAUGACGAUUGAAAUAGUGAAAUAACUGUCAAAAAAUCAAUUUUUGAGAGGAAAAAAUCACUCCCAAAUAGGCUCCAAGUACAGGUAUAAAACACCUGGCCACGCAUAAAGAAGUUACUUGUCAGUAUAUUAAGAUAAAUGUUUCUUUUGGUUAGUCAAAGUUUGAAAUAAGUUACUUAUUUUAAAACGGUUAUUCCUACCUUAUUGUCAAAUUAAACUACAUUUUUAUUUAUAAGAAAAAGUAACUUGUCUAAACAUGUGUGGAAACAAAAUUUAUUUGAAAGUAACUUCGCUCUCUAUGCUUUUAGCCAAGUAGGCUUCAAGAGAAACAUGACAAAUGUGAGAAGAGUCAAUCAAGCCUGUAGGCAGAAAUAUGUACUUGCAACUUGGAAAGACAUUGUUAUUACAUAGUUCAUUUGAACAUACUCCUCAAAAGACAUUGUACAAGUUUUUACUUCCACUAUGAUAAAUAUGGCAUUCUGUAAACACCCAUUUCGAGGACAAUCGAGACACUUCUUUGGAAUCUUAGCAAUUGUAUGAAGUCUGUUUGCACAUAGGUAGGCCUAGUAUAAUGUAUAGUGGAACUACGUAGUAUUUACUAAAACUCCGGGGUAGCCAUGGAGCGUCGAGAUUAACGGUCAAAGUAGCAGAAGAAUGUGAAUCCAUGAUUGUCUCAGUUAUCUGAGAUAUCGUCCAGGUCUUGCCUUACUUCUUCUGCACAGCCGUUUCCAUAAGAAAGGAAGAAAGAAGAAAUUGCAAGCAGAAAAUUAGAGAAAUUGCUCUGCUUUGUAUAUUCCAUUGAAAAAUUACUCGUUCUCUAUAUUCUAACAGCAUAACAGAAAAGGGGAAAUGAUGAGGACAUCACACCACCUAUUUUAGAUUUCUACUUGUGGGUUAUUUAUUUUAUGUUUUAUUAGUUUAAUUGGGUUGUAUUUAUGGACCGGCCCAAGGUCCUUUUAUGCUUUAGGUUUGCUCUUUUUUUUCCUCCUAUAUAAAUGGAUGUGUACUGUAACUGGAAGGAUGGUUGAUGAAUUAAUGAAAUGAAUAUGCUCAGUUAUUAAGUUUCCUUUCCCUUCCUCCCUGACUUCUUCUCUGGGUUUUUUCCCCCCUGCUGUCGUCUUCUUCUUCUCUUCUUCUUGCUGAGAUUCUGCAAUUCUGCUUCUUUUAUGUUGUUUUAUAUGAGGAAUCCUUUUUUUCUGCAUCAAAGUGGUAUCAGAGCCAACAUCAACAGCUACUUAAUUUUGCAUUAUGGAGUUGCUACUCAACAAAGCCAACUAUGCCACCAAGAUUGCCUAGCACUCACACGCUGUACUCCACCACUGAUUUCAACAACCCAGCCUCUUCUCUAACGGCUAACAACUACCAAUCUUCCCAUAACCCACAUCAACAGCCCACUAAGCCCAAAUAAACACCACCACCAUACCCACAAGCCAAACCUCCAACCAAAUAGUAACCAUCGACAACUUCACAAUAACCAACACCCUUUAAUAUACGGCAACUUCAAAACCGCUGCUUGUGAACACGGUCUGCUACAACUCCCCUCAAUCAUGCCUCAAUAUCCAACAACAAAUUCGACACAAAAAGCUUACUUACCAUCGUCUCCACCUGCACCAACCCCGUCACUGCCUCUUCUAAAUCCGGUAAACCACGUACUCCCACCACAAAUCUUGUCUAAACCACCUCUCAUGUUGUUCACUACAUUUGUUUGAAACCUAACUUCAUUGUCAUACCUUCAUAAUCGUACCCAUCCGCCGAUCGCUCCUAAACCGACGACCCAAGCUAUUAACCCUCUCCUUCGCCAAUCGCAGAAUGCCGACUCCACAAUUGACACAUCCCACGCCGCCAUCAUCACCCAAUGGUCAAUUCCUAUUUGGGGUUUAUUUUAUAUUUCAGCCUCUAUUGAUUUUGGGCCUUAGUUGUAUUUGGACUGUGUUAAUGUUUGGCCAUGUGUAAUGUAGGGGAAAUGUAUGUUUUGGGUCUCAGUUUUUACCCCAUUUUGUUUAUAUGAAAGUGUAAUUUGAUUUCGUAAGUGUGAAAAAAAAAAAAAAAAAGGGAAUAGCAAAGAAAAAAGUGAAAACAAAAAGUUGGAGGGAAAAAAAAGUGAGAAAAAUAAAAGAUAUUAUUUCUAAUAUUAUUUGCAGGUACUUCUUUUAUUUUGGUUGAUU
This 2396-nucleotide long non-coding RNA is filed under the name Olea europaea subsp. europaea. The record is from RNAcentral. Lineage: Eukaryota; Viridiplantae; Streptophyta; Magnoliopsida; Lamiales; Oleaceae.